AUACGUAGGGGGCAAGCGGUAUCCGGAUUUACUGGGUGUAAAGGGAGUGUAGGCGGUCUGGCAAGUCUGAUGUGAAACUCCGCAGCUCAACUGCGGAACUGCAUUGGAAACUGUCAGACUAGAGUGCAGGAGAGGAAAGUGGAAUUCCUAGUGUAGCGGUGAAAUGCGUAGAUAUUAGGAAGAACACCAGUGGCGAAGGCGGCGUUAUGGACUGUAACUGACGCGGAGGCUCGAAAGCGUGGAGAGCAAACAGGAUUAGAUACCCUGUUAGUCCACGCCGUAAACGAUGAAUACUAGGUGUCGGGUGGCAAAGCCAUUCGGUGCCGCAGCUAACGCAAUAAGUAUUCCACCUGGGGAGUACGUUCGCAAGAAUGAAACUCAAAGGAAUUGACGGGG
Molecule: ribosomal RNA, 396 nt
Filed under: uncultured bacterium
Lineage: Bacteria
Description: partial 16S ribosomal RNA
Rfam family: Bacterial small subunit ribosomal RNA
Source: RNAcentral